This 305-nucleotide unclassified non-coding RNA is filed under the name plant metagenome. RNAcentral describes it as "partial contains 5.8S ribosomal RNA, internal transcribed spacer 2, and large subunit ribosomal RNA". The stretch from base 1 to 105 matches the Rfam family "5.8S ribosomal RNA", at positions 50 to 154 of the family's 154-position model. The record is from RNAcentral.
GAAAUGCGAUAAGUAGUGUGAAUUGCAGAAUUCAGUGAAUCAUCGAAUCUUUGAACGCACAUUGCGCCCUUUGGUAUUCCUUAGGGCAUGCCUGUUCGAGCGUCAUCUAAACCUUCAAGCCCUGCUUGGUGUUGGGUGCCUGUCCCGCCUCCGCGCGCGGACUCACCUCAAAUCCAUUGGCGGCCCCCGCGUCGGCCACGAGCGCAGCAGAUACGCGAACUCGUGAGCCCGUCCGGGCGGCUCCCAGAAGCUACACCCACCCAGUUUGACCUCGGAUCAGGUAGGGAUACCCGCUGAACUUAAGC